RNAcentral lists this long non-coding RNA (704 nucleotides) under Ursus maritimus (polar bear). RNAcentral's name for it is "lncRNA (ENSUMAG00000013307.1)". The record is from RNAcentral. Lineage: Eukaryota; Metazoa; Chordata; Mammalia; Carnivora; Ursidae.
UGUGGGUUGAGAUCCUACCCCCAGUACCUUCCAAGAGCCCUACAAAACAAAAACAAAAGCAAAAACAAAACAAAACCAAAAAACACAAAAACAAACAAACAAAACCUCUUUCCUUUCAGAGCAACUUUAAACAAAAACAAACGUCUUGUCAUCUCAGCAUGUGCUAGCGAAGACUCCCUUUCUGCCCCUUGGGACCGCCCCCCACCUUGGAUCUACCAGCUUCUGGUCACGCCAGACAAGCCUCGGAAAGUCGGUUUGCGGCUCAUCUCUGCUCUUUCUUCGGUUUUUAGCGAGCGCUGGAAACGGAGCCCACCGCCCCUUCAGUCCACAGCAUCUGCAAAAGUGGCUGCCGAGGUGGACAUGUUAGAAGAGUUCAUUGGGUUGACAACUAAUCACACACGAACACUGCAGUGAGCAACGCCUCGUUUCCCCGUCGCUUUCAGGCUGCAGAUGAGAAGGAAAGGAGAACACAUGAAGUCGGAAGAACAGGUUUCGCUACAGGGGCAUGUGAGGCAGCUGGUGACACCUGCCCCUCAUUUCCGGGCACGCACGCACGCACCUGAUUCAUCCAUCCUCCAGCCAACUUUCUAAAAAGAGUUCAAGAGUUUGAAAUUAUUCAUAGCAAAUCUUUUCUCAACUUUUGGCAUAAUUGAGUAAUCCAACUACUGAAUAAAGAAGGACUUGGUAUUUUUGGCUUCCUGGAA